This 91-nucleotide non-coding RNA is filed under the name unclassified sequences. The record is from RNAcentral.
GUAAGUCUGCCGCCGGGCAGAAGAUGAAUCAGGCGUUCAAUUUCACAUCUUUAGGCCUUAGUAGAUGUGAAAAACUGAACGCUUUUUUUAU